This 520-nucleotide unclassified non-coding RNA is filed under the name uncultured Glomus. Its description in RNAcentral is "SSU rRNA". It matches the Rfam family "Eukaryotic small subunit ribosomal RNA", at positions 569 to 1090 of the family's 1831-position model. The record is from RNAcentral. Lineage: Eukaryota; Fungi; Glomeromycota; Glomeromycetes; Glomerales; Glomeraceae.
AGCAGCCGCGGUAAUUCCAGCUCCAAUAGCGUAUAUUAAAGUUGUUGCAGUUAAAAAGCUCGUAGUUGAAUUUCGGGGUUAGUAGGUUGGUCAUGCCUCUGGUAUGUACUGGUCUCACUGAUUCCUCCUUCCUGAUGAACCUUAAUGCCAUUUAUUUGGUGUUUUGGGGAAUUUGGACUGUUACUUUGAAAAAUUAGAGUGUUUAAAGCAAGCUAACGCUUGAAUACAUUAGCGUGGAAUAAUGAAAUAGGACGUUCGAUCCUAUUUUGUUGGUUUCUAGGAUUGACGUAAUGAUUAAUAGGGAUAGUUGGGGGCAUUAGUAUUCAAUUGUCAGAGGUGAAAUUCUUGGAUUUAUUGAAGACUAACUACUGCGAAAGCAUUUGCCAAGGAUGUUUUCAUUAAUCAAGAACGAAAGUUAGGGGAUCGAAGACGAUCAGAUACCGUCGUAGUCUUAACCAUAAACUAUGCCGACUAGGGAUCGGAUGAUGUUAAUUUUUUAAUGUACUCAUUCGGCGCCUUA